Passer domesticus (house sparrow) is the source of this 1443-nucleotide long non-coding RNA. RefSeq lists it as uncharacterized. The transcript has 4 exons. NCBI's taxonomy places the organism in Eukaryota, Metazoa, Chordata, Aves, Passeriformes, Passeridae. The record is from RefSeq and is a predicted model, not a curated record.
UUAGCAAGGAGAGGCUACGGAGAAGUAAAUAUCGUGGUUUUUAGCGGGUACUUUUCUUUAAAGAAUGUGUUACUAAUGCAAAGCAUUCCAUUCGCCACGGAAGGUGCCGGGACAGGAGGAACUUGGAGCAUGGCAUAAACCCACCCCAUCGCUUUCAGAAGGUACCGGAGCCCAGGGUUAUACUCUGACCACAGCGAAACCAAGAUUUACAAGUAAGCCAGGUUCAGAGUCCGGCCAUAGAAGAGAUGAUGGAUAGGGCCUCCUUUGGCUUCCAGCUGCUUCUCAGUUGAAAAUGGCAAAGGAACAUAUGCAAAAGGCACAACCUUCCCGAUGCCAACACCUCCACAAUGGAGCCGUGGGACUCCUUCCGGAAGCGGCAGCGCGGGAGCGCCAGCCAGGGAGGAAACCGUGAGCUGCGUGGGGUUUGUGUGGAGCACAGCUUCGUAGGUGGAUCACUGCUAUCCCAGACUGACAUCUACAUCUUAUUUAAAUACUCCAGCGUGGGCCCUUUGCUGUGGUUCCAGCUUGUCUAAAUGAAUUGGUCGAUGCAGAUUUUCCUUUGGGGUCAGCCACCAAGGGAAAAUACUGUAGUUCAGCAAAAGAAAGUCGACGUGCUACGCUUUGUUAUAUCACCGCACUCCUGCAGUGCACCUCCACAAAGGUGCUGAGGCAGGGAAACCAGAUAUGGAGUCUGAGUGUCCUGGUGGCAAGACCCUGAGCCCAGCUCUGCACUGGAGAGAGGUGUGAUCAUAAGGAAGUCAGUGGAACCAUGCAGGGAUGGGCAGCUUCCACCCCUUUAUCCAGUAGGAUCUUCCCAACAUCCAACUCAAACCAGGCAGAGGACACAAAACCGUGCCAGCCCUGCAGGCAGCAUUUUGUUUUACUCCAAUAAUUCCGUUUCGUUUUUAUCUGUAUUUCAGGUACACAGUUUUGUUGUUCAAUUAAGCCUGCAGACGAGAUCUUGCUGUACUACAAAAUACAGAAUUGUUAAGAUAUGACAGGUCUGCUCUACUUUCAUGAGUAAAAAAGAUGGGAUUUGGAUCAUUAUCCAUGAUUUUGAAGUUCUUUGGAGAAGAAGCUGUCCACAGGGGCAUGAUGCUGUUAGGGGGUGGAGGAGGGAGAGAGCAGGAGAAGAGGAGACAUUUGAAGUCAAAUGGUAAUUCUCAUCCUUUACUCGAUUACCCUUUAAUUGGCUUUUUCCUAAGAAAUAUCUGACAACCACUUUGCAUAUCUCUUUUCCAGAGCCUAGUAAACAAAGGAUUUAAUACUCUUGUUAUGAAAGGAAAAAUCUUUCCUCUGUCAGAAAAUCUUUGGCUUUAGCACCAAUAAACUCUUUAUUACUGCUAAACUUGGAUUUGCUGCUCGAUCGCAGAGAGGCGAUAAAAACUCUAACCUGUCAUUAGUGCAUUAUGCUUAAUUGUGUACAGUAUGUUUCCAGUUGCA